RNAcentral lists this ribosomal RNA (472 nucleotides) under uncultured bacterium. Its description in RNAcentral is "bacterial SSU rRNA". It matches the Rfam family "Bacterial small subunit ribosomal RNA", at positions 355 to 825 of the family's 1533-position model. The record is from RNAcentral.
UGGGGAAUAUUGGACAAUGGGCGCAAGCCUGAUCCAGCCAUGCCGCGUGAGUGACGAAGGCCUUCGGGUUGUAAACCGCUUUUGUCAGGGAAGAAACGCUCUGGGCUAAUACCCUGGGGUAAUGACGGUACCUGAAGAAUAAGCACCGGCUAACUACGUGCCAGCAGCCGCGGUAAUACGUAGGGUGCAAGCGUUAAUCGGAAUUACUGGGCGUAAAGCGUGCGCAGGCGGUUAUGCAAGACAGAUGUGAAAUCCCCGGGCUCAACCUGGGAACUGCAUUUGUGACUGUAUAGCUAGAGUACGGUAGAGGGGGAUGGAAUUCCGCGUGUAGCAGUGAAAUGCGUAGAUAUGCGGAGGAACACCGAUGGCGAAGGCAGUCCCCUGGGCCUGUACUGACGCUCAUGCACGAAAGCGUGGGGAGCAAACAGGAUUAGAUACCCUAGUAGUCCCUGAGCGGGCUGGCAAGGCGCAU